RNAcentral lists this non-coding RNA (98 nucleotides) under Streptomyces chattanoogensis. RNAcentral's name for it is "Glycine sequence". It matches the Rfam family "Glycine riboswitch aptamer". Rfam says of the family: This family represents the bacterial glycine riboswitch. Glycine riboswitches usually consist of two metabolite-binding aptamers domains with similar structures in tandem. RNAcentral also lists the same sequence under 1 other name. The record is from Rfam by way of RNAcentral. Lineage: Bacteria; Bacillati; Actinomycetota; Actinomycetes; Kitasatosporales; Streptomycetaceae.
UGACCCCAUGCGGGAGAGUCCCUUGCCGUUCGCGGCGGGGGCGCCGAAGGAGCAACUCCUCCCCGGAAUCUCUCAGGCAUCCGUACCGCAUGGACGAG